GAUGAACGCUGGCGGCGUGCCUAAUACAUGCAAGUCGAGCGAACAGACGAGGAGCUUGCUCCUCUGACGUUAGCGGCGGACGGGUGAGUAACACGUGGAUAACCUACCUAUAAGACUGGGAUAACUUCGGGAAACCGGAGCUAAUACCGGAUAAUAUAUUGAACCGCAUGGUUCAAUAGUGAAAGACGGUUUUGCUGUCACUUAUAGAUGGAUCCGCGCCGCAUUAGCUAGUUGGUAAGGUAACGGCUUACCAAGGCGACGAUGCGUAGCCGACCUGAGAGGGGGGUCAGCCCCCCUGGAAGAGAGACACGGUGCAGACGCCUACGGGAGGCAGCAGUGGGGGAGAUUGUCCCAUGGGGGGAAAACUGUUCCAGGCAAACCGCGGGGGGGGAGAAGGGCUUCGGGUUGUAAAAACCUUUUGUUGGGAGAGAAAAAAAGCAGUUUAAUACCCUGCUCUUCUGACGGUGCCCAAAGAAUAAACACCGGCUAACUUCGUG
This 497-nucleotide ribosomal RNA is filed under the name uncultured bacterium. Its description in RNAcentral is "partial 16S ribosomal RNA". It matches the Rfam family "Bacterial small subunit ribosomal RNA", at positions 28 to 507 of the family's 1533-position model. The record is from RNAcentral.